This 497-nucleotide ribosomal RNA is filed under the name uncultured bacterium. RNAcentral describes it as "partial 16S ribosomal RNA". It matches the Rfam family "Bacterial small subunit ribosomal RNA", at positions 28 to 507 of the family's 1533-position model. The record is from RNAcentral.
GACGAACGCUGGCGGCGUGCCUAAUACAUGCAAGUUGAGCGCUGAAGGUUGGUACUUGUACCAACUGGAUGAGCAGCGAACGGGUGAGUAACGCGUGGGGAAUCUGCCUUUGAGCGGGGGACAACAUUUGGAAACGAAUGCUAAUACCGCAUAAAAACUUUAAACACAAGUUUUAAGAUUGAAAGAUGCAAUUGCAUCACUCAAAGAUGAUCCCGCGUUGUAUUAGCUAGUUUGUGAGGUAAAGGCUCACCAAGGCGAUGAUACAUAGCCGACCUGAGAGGGUGAUCGGCCAACAUGGGAAUGAGAAACGGCCCAAACUCCUACGGGGAGCAGCAGGAGGGAAUCUUCGGGCAUGGGCGAAAGUCUGGCCGAGCAACGCCGCGUGAGUGAAGAAGGGUUUCGGAUCGGAAAACUCUGUUGGUAGGGAAGAACGUUGGUGGGAGUGGAAAGCGCAUCAAGUGACGGUAACUACCCAGAAAGGGACGGCUAACUACGUG